GGAAGGAUCAAUAAUGUUUUGUUGAUGGAAUGCGACGUGGUGCAACCGCGUGUGGAUUUCAUUAGCUAUACCCAGUAUUGUAUGUAGUAUGUUGCAUGUUGCAAGUUGCAAGUUGCAAGUUGCAUGUUGCAUGUUGCAAGUUGCAUGUUGCAUGUUGCAUGUUGCAUGUGCUGUAAUGGAAAUUGCAUGUGCUGUAAUGGAAAUUACAUAUGCGGUAAUGCAAAUUGCAUGUACUAUAUAUGAUACAAAUAUAUGGUCGGUGGCCUGUGGGCUGUCGUAACUAUAAAAUCGUAUUGGUGUUGUGUGACAUGAAUUUAAAAUCUAAACAACUUUUAACAAUGGAUCUCUUGGUUCUCGCAACGAUGAAGAACGCAGCGAAAUGCGAAAAGUGGUGUGAAUUGCAUAAACCUGUGAAUCAUUGAAUCUUUGAACGCACAUUGCGCUCUGUGGUGGUGACACUGUGGAGCAUGUCUGUUUGAGAAUUGUUAACAAGAUGUGUGUGUUUGUGUGUAAAUAAAGUUGAUAUUUUAUUUGCAAUCGGCAUGCGCGAAUUGGGAUGUCAAUAUAAUAUUGCUUUGAAUAGGGUUUGUUUGAAUAGUAUUCAGAUGAAUAGCAUUCAGAUGAACAACAUUCUUGGCACGUUGGCAUCUUCAAAUACAUUGUCGUCAAAAAGGUGUGAUAAAUGGGCUGGGGCCCCUCACCAAUUGUGACUACUCAUUCUUCCAUUAUUGCAAUCUCAAAUCAGACAAGAUCACCCGCUGAACUUAAGCAUAUCAGUAAGCGGAGGAAAAGAAACUAACAAGGAUUCCCCCAGUAACGGCGAGUGAAGCGGGAAGAGCUCAAAUUUGAAAUCGGUUACCUUUGGUGAUCGAAUUGUAAUCUAAAGAAACGCAAUCGACGACCGGGCAAAGCCAAGUCCCUUGGAAAAGGGCGUCAGAGAGGGUGAGAACCCCGUUGGCUUUUGCUUUGGUGGCGGAACGAGGCGGCUUCGACGAGUCGGGUUGUUUGGGAAUGCAGCCCCAAAUGGGUGGUAAACUCCAUCUAAGGCUAAAUAUGGGCGAGAGACCGAUAGCGAACAAGUACCGUGAGGGAAAGAUGAAAAGAACUUUGAAAAGAGAGUGAAAAGUGUGUGAAAUUGUUAAAAGGGAAGCGAAGGUGUGUGUGAAUUGGGAGGUGGUCUGGCAGUUGUCGCAAGACACGCCAAACAUCCUUGCAUAAACAGUGGGAAGGGUAGAGGUUGUAAAACAAAGGAGUGGGCAAGGUGACAUUCAUUUCGAUGACUGUUUUAUAGGCCUACUCUCUAAUUCCAACCCAUACUCUCUUCCACGACAUGCAUCUACGACCCGUCUUGAAACACGGACCAAGGAGUCUAACGUAUGUGCGAGUAUUAGAGCGAUCAAUCUCUUAUGCGCAAUAAACGUAAAAGAAUGGGAACUGUCAAGCAGUGCACCAUUGACCGAUUUUCUUGUUCACAAGAGGAUUUGAGUAAGAGCACAUACGCUGGGACCCGAAAGAUGGUGAACUAUGCCUGGAUAGGGUAAAGCCAGAGGAAACUCUGGUGGAGGCUCGUUGUGGUUCUGACGUGCAAAUCGAUCACAGAAUUUGGGUAUAGGGGCGAAAGACUAAUCGAACCAUCUAGUAGCUGGUUCCCUC
This 1653-nucleotide unclassified non-coding RNA is filed under the name uncultured fungus. RNAcentral's name for it is "sequence contains 18S rRNA gene, ITS1, 5.8S rRNA gene, ITS2, 28S rRNA gene". The stretch from base 732 to 1653 matches the Rfam family "Eukaryotic large subunit ribosomal RNA", at positions 1 to 961 of the family's 3401-position model. The record is from RNAcentral. Lineage: Eukaryota; Fungi.